RNAcentral lists this ribosomal RNA (449 nucleotides) under uncultured bacterium. RNAcentral describes it as "partial 16S ribosomal RNA". It matches the Rfam family "Bacterial small subunit ribosomal RNA", at positions 354 to 795 of the family's 1533-position model. The record is from RNAcentral.
GUGGGGAAUCUUCCGCAAUGGACGAAAGUCUGACGGAGCAACGCCGCGUGAGUGAUGAAGGUCUUCGGAUUGUAAAGCUCUGUUAAUCGGGACGAAAGAGCCUAGUGUGAAUAAUGCUAGGAAGUGACGGUACCGGAAUAGAAAGCCACGGCUAACUACGUGCCAGCAGCCGCGGUAAUACGUAGGUGGCAAGCGUUGUCCGGAAUUAUUGGGCGUAAAGCGCGCGCAGGCGGAUCUGCCAGUCUGUCUUAAAAGUUCGGGGCUUAACCCCGUGAUGGGAUGGAAACUACAGAUCUAGAGUAUCGGAGAGGAAAGUGGAAUUCCUAGUGUAGCGGUGAAAUGCGUAGAUAUUAGGAAGAACACCAGUGGCGAAGGCGACUUUCUGGACGAAAACUGACGCUGAGGCGCGAAAGCCAGGGGAGCGAACGGGAUUAGAAACCCGAGUAGUC